GGAGUUAGCCGGUGCUUCUUCUGUGAGUGAUGUCCUUCCUGCCGGCUAUUAACCCGCAGGCCUUCUUCCUCACUGAAAGUGCUUUACAACCCGAAGGCCUUCUUCACACACGCGGCAUGGCUGGAUCAGGGUUGCCCCCAUUGUCCAAUAUUCCCCACUGCUGCCUCCCGUAGGAGUCUGGGCCGUGUCUCAGUCCCAGUGUGGCUGAUCAUCCUCUCAGACCAGCUACGGAUCGUCGCCUUGGUGAGCCGUUACCUCACCAACCAGCUAAUCCGACAUAGGCUCAUCCGAUAGCGCGAGGCCCGAAGGUCCCCCGCUUUCCCCCGUAGGGCGUAUGCGGUAUUAGCCUGGGUUUCCCCCAGGUUAUCCCCCACUACCGGGCAGAUUCCUAUGCAUUACUCACCCGUCCGCCGCUCGCCACCAGGGAGCAAGCUCCCCGUGCUGCCGCUCGACUUGCAUGUGUUAGGCCUGCCGCCAGCGUUCAAUCUGAGCCAGAAUCGAACCCUGA
RNAcentral lists this ribosomal RNA (508 nucleotides) under uncultured bacterium. RNAcentral describes it as "partial 16S ribosomal RNA". The record is from RNAcentral.